GGUUAAUGUGGCCGAGUUCAGGCAGUAAAUUGUAAAUUUACCAACGAAGUUAAUUCCGUAACCA
RNAcentral lists this transfer RNA (64 nucleotides) under Ulomoides dermestoides. RNAcentral's name for it is "tRNA-Tyr". The record is from RNAcentral. Lineage: Eukaryota; Metazoa; Arthropoda; Insecta; Coleoptera; Tenebrionidae.